CAAGCAGGUAAUAGAGAAGACUGUGCCAAAGCAAUUUCUCAGGGCAGUAGUGAGUGGCACAGUGACCACCUUUCCUCCUAACCCACUGGGCAUACUGCAAUUGCUCUUGUUGCACAGUCUGUAUCUUUCAGCAUAUUCUCUCCUUAUUUUCUCUGAAAGACUGUUAUUUGCCCCCUUUAUUCCUGCCCAGCUCCUGGCCUCUUUUUCUGGACGGUGAUUGAAGCUGAGCCACAUUUAGUGAUGCAGUAAUUUGCCUACACUUUUUUUUAAUUAGAAAUCAUGGUCUUGGCUCUGCUGUUUGCUGAGUCUCAUUGCCAUUUCUAGCUGCUUUUUUUUUUUUCUCCUCAUUUUGUCUUUUUUACUUGUGUUCGCACUAGAAGUUCCAGAUAAUACUGGCAUCCCUGUGCAGUGGUGUGGGUCUUCAAAUACCCUGUUGGAGUGGGACCCUUCCCCACUGAGCUUAGGAUUUAAGGCCCAUUUUGUAAUGCUGUUGAGUUUGGCUUUGUGCAGAUACAUAAACAUAGAAAGAGACAUUGCCUGCCCAAGAAGUGUACAGAGCAAGCAGAUGUACAAAACAGAAGAAACCCAGAAGGAGAUAAGCAAAUGAAGUGGCUCACUCUAUUGCAGAAAACAUUCCUUUACUUUUCUAUUCUGAGAUAUUUCCAUUUAAUUCCUUCCUUUCAGUAUCUUAAACUGAGUUUGGAGUCUGUGUCAGGGGAUCCUGAAUUGUAGGAUAGAAACCACUAAUGGUACUUAAAGAUUAUUCAACUUUCUUCCACAAACCUGUAUGGCUGAGAAUUGGGCUUUUGUUGCCACCAAGACCGAUUAUAUUAAAUGGCAUAGUUGAGCAAGGUAUCAGUAUCUGGUGUACAAACAGCUUCUCCAGACUGGGCAAUCUGAAAUACUGCAAUGUUUCCAAGCUACUGGGGAAGCUGUUCCUCUUUAAAUGAGGAUGUCCUACCAAAUACAACCGAAAGCCAAGGCAGCAUGGUGUCCUGACAGGGAUGGGGUCCAUAGCAGCUGCCUGCAGAAGAACGGGGCAAGAGAGGACUUGCCUCCUGCCAUGGGGUGUUCUCCCAGCCCCCAGCAGUUUGCAGCCCAAGAGCUUUCUGUGUCUUUGUAUUCCCAUGGCUUGCCACAGCCAGCUAAAUCAGCAGACAUUACUCUGGGGGAUUUAGAUAGAUAGAGAACAUGGAGCUGAAUUUAACUGUAGACAUCCCAGCAGAGCUGGGAGAACAGUUCAUGGGAACGCUUGCUUCACUGCAAAGAUGGCCAGCGCAGGAAACUUCUCAGUGAAAGCCCUCCUGGGCAUAAGCCAUGGCAUUCCGUAUCAUGUCCUCUUCCCUUCGUGAGGGACAGGCUUUUGGAAAGCCACCCCCCUUCCAGUCACUUCCAGUCAGGCAAGCACCAGGAGUAAGAUCCCCCCUCUCCUUGAGCACACCCGACGGUGCAUCUCAUUCCGCUGCCAUCGGCAAGAGAGGAAUGUUCUUGCUCUGUUUUGGGGGUGGCAGGUGACCCCGGAGUCUCUUCCUGAGCUAGACUCUUUUACGAGCAUCACAGAAGACCGAUGCAGUGCCUUAUACAUCCUCGUGAAAAUAAACACAAAUUGGGAGGGUGUGCAUUUAAUGCAUGCUGCGGUUCACCGUCUUUUGAAAAGCUAUUGCUUUGCUCGCUGAAUUCCUGGCAGAUAAAAUGUUAAUCUGUCUAUCUCAGGAAGAGCACUGAGGAAAAGAGGUUAAAAAAGAUGAAAUCGGCACAACGCUGGGCUGAUCGUGAAUCUUUCCAUAAAACAUAAACCUAGUUCCUCUACCUGGUAGGGGGACCAACGCUCGGCUGUGUGUCGCAGCUCACUGGGUGUGACAUUCUGAAAAAAGCAACCGCUCUGCUCCUGGCAAUGAUUUUCAAAAACAAUUUGCACUUUAUCUCUGUGACACCAAGAGAUCACACAUCAGCCAACACAGUCAGGUAUCAGGAGCAAAUCAAUGGCUGGCUUACCUCCCAAGGUCUGUCCCCUAGUUUUAUUACUGCUGACAGUGGAGCCAGCAGUUAAAGGGCAGCGUGAGAUGACCAAUUUGGAGAUAACACUAGGUUUUGCACACCAGCUGAGCCUACUGGGGCACAGUUUCCUUUAGAGUGAUGAUAGUAUCAAAGAACUUCCAGCAUAAACUUGCAAAGAGGUUACCCAGUUUUGUCUGCUAUUUGAAGCCCCACAAAUGUUUUCUUAAACAGCAGGGUAAAAGACAGCAACAAUAAGAAUAACAAACCCAAUAGCUAUACACAAAAUACAGCAAGAAGCAGUAUCUUGAGAAAACCGUGCUUUUUAGCAACCAGAAACAAAAGCCCAACAUAAACACAUGAAGCGGGUAUAAGACAUGUGGUACUGGGAUAUAGUACUACAUUUUCCAUCUUCUUUAGGGAAGGCCACACAUACUGUCUGUGAAUGGGAAGCAGCUGGGAAGUAAUCUUUAUCAGCCUGAAAUGUAUGCUGGCAGUCUUCAGAGCAAGCUAUAUUUUGCAAAUUACACUACUUGCACUGCCAAGUGGAAAGAUGUUUAAUGUGAAGAGUUCAAUAAUGAAAGGAUUUUAAAAUAAAAAUAAAAGAUCCAUUCUUAGCUCAUUAUUUUCUGAUCUGGGAACAUAAAUACUUGUUAAGGAUAGUUGAAGACUAUCCCUACUCAAAAAACUCUAGCUGAGUGGCCUUAUGUGGUCCUAUUGAAACCAGCAGUAAAUCUACUGACUUACGUCAUUUCUCUGCAUAGUGUUCCAUCAGCUCAUCUGAGUAUGAAAUUCUGUCAAAACUUCUGUUAUUUCAACCAUUUUUUCAUAAUUUACUGCAUUUUGUAACUCUCCAUAACUUGCGCUCAUCUUUGCUUCCCACUCAUUCUCUAGGUCUCACGGUCUUUUUGCUUCUAAAGAUUUAGAAUUAUUCUGCAGUCCUAAUCCUAAAUAACCCUGAGCAUUAGUGGGGAAAGAAGUCUCUUUCAAAUAUUAGUACAAACUUAUUCAGUCCCUUGCUGGCCACGACUCGAGAGCCCAUUUUAGUCCCACAUGUUUUAGAUGACUGAUGUGUGUGUGAAUUAGCAGUGCUUUAGUGUUGGCUCUUUGUUACACAUCAGAUGAAGAAUAUGCAGCCAGGAUGAAUAAAUAAAAGGAAGUCCUGCAAAAUCACUCAGCUUUUUAAAAAUACCUUGGACCAUGGUGCUGUAUUUUCAAUAGACUCUUUCCAGUUUGAUGUGAGUUGUGUCAUUUGGAGUUCAAGGAGAAAGAUGCCUCUGCGUGUCAGUGCAGCUGCUUUUCCUAAAUAGGGAAAUGUGAAGGAUCUAAGGUGAAAGUGUCUGUCGCUCUUCUCUCCACAAGCCCAUUAGUUGUUUAUAAUAACCUGGCUUUAGCAGGAAUGGCUUUAAAAUAAUGCUUGUGAACACACAAAUAAAAGGUGGCUGUGACUGCAAGUGGGAGCGAGAGCCUUUGGAUGAUUUGCCAAAGAGGAAUCCGGGCAAGCUGUGUGCCUUGCCUGUGGUAUUACCCAAAGCUGGCCAAUCUAACGGCGAUGUGGAAUAGUUAUGGGGUGUUUGUGAAGGGCUGGGAACAGAGCGAGGGAGCACCUCAGCCCAGUACUGAUAGACAUCUCAAUAUUGAAUGGAAAGGAUCUCGUCAUCCUCUCCCUGCCCCGUCAACUUUGUGCUUCUAAUUUUGCACAGUAUUUUUACUUUCUCAUCUUUCCCCCAUAAUUAUUGCAUUCCCUGUCUUCUGCUUUCCAUCCUGUCAGCCUCGGAUUUGACAGGAAACUUCUGGUGACAUCUGAAUAUGAGUCAGAACCCAUCCAGAAACACAGCUUACUUACCAUAUUGAUAGCCUUGGGCUUUUGCUGAGUUCUUACUACCCAUUGUAUAGAGCCAUUUUUAAAGCACAGAGUGGCUUUAAACAAAUAUUAGAUCUAAAAUCUAGGUCACCCUUCUUACUGAAGGGCAGAUAAGAGGUUUGCUCAUUUCCUAGUGAAAAAUCACUUUUACUGGUUGACUUGAUGAUUUGAAUAGGAAAAUAAUUUAAAAUAGCAAUAGUGUAGAUAAUUAUGCAGUUUGAGUUCAGGAGUGGUUUCUCAGCAUUAGGCAGAGUAUUGUUUAAAUGCUAUGGAUGACAAUGAUUAAGGCAAAUAAUUGAUACCCUCUUUAGAGUGCUGCAUCUGUAUCCCAAUAUUCUCCUAGGAUACUGUCAGGUGCAUACUAACGAGGAAUUACUAAUAGUUGGUGGGGGUUUUGAGUGUAUGGAAACUGUGAAGGCAGGACUGGGUGCAGAAAACUGUCUUUUGAGCAGUCCAUAACUGUUUUGAAGCAUCAGACAUGUUUGAUUUUAGAUAAACUGAAAUUUCCUGCAGGGCACUGGGUAUCUGUUAAUAAUUUUUCAUCACUUCAGUGAACGGUCAGAUUUUCAGCCGCCUUUGUUUGUUUGACAUUUGUGUGAUACUCAACCAAUCCUUCAUUACUUGGUACCCAAUCUUUUGCACGUACAAACAUAUAGAAAAAUAGACAUACUUUUAUAUACAUAUUUGUUCAUACUAGGAAUACAAAUGGAUGUUUAAACUCUUUACCAUACAAGAGUUACAAGAUGCCUUCAUAUACAGUAAACUACUUUCUGGAAUUUCUGGUUUUAAAAUAAAUAACACAAAGUUUUUUUCAACAAUGUGUCAUUGCUGUUGUUAUGCAAGUGUGUAGGACCAACCCAAUGGUAAGCAGGUCAGCAAUUUUGAGGUAAAUCUAUUGCUGAACAGCAUCAAGGUCUUCCACCCUAAAACCAUUAGAGAACACUGUAGGAGCUCUGAGAGGGUCAAAAAGUACCAUUCUUUACAGCACUGAAGAUGACGAUGAUGUUUCAAAUAGAAAUUUCACUGUGCAAAGGUCAGCGCAACAUGGUCUCUUAGAACAACAUAAUUGGAAAGAACACCAAAGCUGUUUUAAACUCAUUCCAAAUAUCUUCUGGAUGCCCUUGAGAGUGAAAGAGCAGAAACUGUGUAGGAAUUCACAUGUUGGAGAGAAAUAAAAAAAAACAACCGAAGCCAUGGCCUGGUUGAAAAUUCAGUCUAGAAGCUGUCUUCAGUUCUCUGCAUCCAGUCUCCUAGCACUCAAUUUUGUUUAUGCCUAGGAGAAACCAGGGGACAAUCUGUGCCCUCAGGAUGGCAUCUUAAAGGGAAACUAGUACCUGCUUUGCAGACGCCACAAAUGUAUAGUCUGCAAAAUGCUCAGUGGAGUUCAAUCUGGCCAACAACCUGUCAGAGGAAGAAAUGUAAACAGUGCUGAAAAGAUCUCUGGUGCUGAAUUCACAUCUUAAUUAACUCUGCAGAACAAUAGUGACUCUAAAAAAGAAUACUACUUUGUACUACCCCUUAUAAUGCCCUCGAUAUUUUUUUAAAAGAUACCGUUUUAUUGGUGGGAUUAAAAUUCACACAAAUGCCCAAAGCUUCCAUAGAUCCCCAUGCCAGAAGUGAGGAGCCUGUGCUCAAAGCAUUUGGAGCAAAGAGCUUCAUUCCACCAGAUGUUGGACGAUGUCUCUAUGGCCAGGAAAGUUAGAAUUCAUCACACAGCCCUUGAAGGAUCUCUGUCAGAAGUCUGGAGUCCCUUUAUUGUCGAAGGAAAGAAAAAGACAUUUCUAGGACAUGAUUUCUCUCAUCCCAAAGUAGAUAGGUCAGAUUAAUCAUUUCCCAAGAGUACCCAUUUCUCCCAGUUUUCUAUAAAAGGAGCUCGAAAAGGAGACAUCUGAAUCAUAGAUACUGAAGCUUUCGUGAGAUCAGUCUCAGCCAGACUGUCUUGGCAUGUCACAUAGCUUCCGUGGGAACACUUGUAAAUAUAUCCAAGGGGAGUUUUAGGAUAACAGCACUGAAGAUAGCGAUGUGCUGAGGUACUAAGUUAAUAAAGUUAUUAACAGCCUUAUGAAUACAAUUAAUGAAUGAUUAGCUUGAAAUUAAUAGCCUGAAUAUAUUUCUAACUUAUGAUGUAGCCUAAAACAUAUUAACUGAAAGGUCAAGAUUCUUAUUUUCAGUUACUUUCUCAAAAGAGAAUACUUGGGUAUGAGGAAAAUUAACAGUAUUUUUUAGUGUUGACGUUGAUGAAAUUGGAAACUGGAAAAUGGAAAAUAAGUAGAGAAAAUGGCAACACAGCUUUCAUAAAUUUUUUCCCUGAGUUUGAAUUCACUGUGGUGUUGUAAAAAAUAGGUAAAAGUGUUGAGAAAAAGAAACAGAAAAGACAAAAGGAGAAAACCUGUCUUUGACUACAAAACUGAGGGGUUUUUUUCAUUUAUAUCUAUAAGGUCUAUUUUUGUGGGUAAAGUUAAUAUGAAGAUGUCUCACUUCUUUGGAGAUCCAUCUGUACAAAGUGUGAGACUUUAGGCUGUAACUUUGACAGGAACCUCUCCAACCUUUUAAAUUUUGAUUCUUGGAUCUAACCUUUUGAUUCUGAACCACCAUAUUGCCAGAAACAGAGAAAUCCAAGCUGAAAAAUUAAACCUUGCCCAAAGUGGUCUUUUCACUAAACUAAACCAAAAGUGACACCCCUCCCCUCCCCUCCCCAAACAAUCAUGAAUUACAGCCACAAGUGUGACUUUCCUGACUCAGCUUGGCUUGAUUUCGGAUCCUUCAUAUUUCCUUAAGCUUUUCAUACUUUGAUUUCCUUUCUGCUGCCAAGAAAGAGGGAAAAAGAAUCAUGUUUCCACAUAAAUUCUUCUCCAGAGUCUGUAAUGUGAGAUUUGUUUAAUAAAUUACAUAAACAGAUACUCAAA
Long non-coding RNA from Harpia harpyja (harpy eagle), 6765 nucleotides. RefSeq lists it as uncharacterized. The transcript has 2 exons. NCBI's taxonomy places the organism in Eukaryota, Metazoa, Chordata, Aves, Accipitriformes, Accipitridae. The record is from RefSeq and is a predicted model, not a curated record.